CCUACGGGAGGCUGCAGUGAGGAAUAUUGGUCAAUGGACGAGAGUCUGAACCAGCCAAGUAGCGUGAAGGAUGACUGCCCUAUGGGUUGUAAACUUCUUUUAUAUGGGAAUAAAAUGUUCCACGUGUGGGAUUUUGUAUGUACCAUAUGAAUAAGGAUCGGCUAACUCCGUGCCAGCAGCCGCGGUAAUACGGAGGAUCCGAGCGUUAUCCGGAUUUAUUGGGUUUAAAGGGAGCGUAGGUGGAUUGUUAAGUCAGUUGUGAAAGUUUGCGGCUCAACCGUAAAAUUGCAGUUGAAACUGGCAGUCUUGAGUACAGUAGAGGUGGUCGGAAUUCGUGGUGUAGCGGUGAAAUGCUUAGAUAUCACGAAGAACUCCGAUUGCGAAGGCAGUUCACUGGACUGCAACUGACACUGAGGCUCGAAAGUGUGGGUAUCAAACAGGAUUAGAUACCCUAGUAGUC
Molecule: ribosomal RNA, 460 nt
Filed under: uncultured bacterium
Lineage: Bacteria
Description: partial 16S ribosomal RNA
Rfam family: Bacterial small subunit ribosomal RNA
Source: RNAcentral